RNAcentral lists this ribosomal RNA (515 nucleotides) under uncultured bacterium. RNAcentral's name for it is "bacterial SSU rRNA". It matches the Rfam family "Bacterial small subunit ribosomal RNA", at positions 8 to 524 of the family's 1533-position model. The record is from RNAcentral.
AGAGUUUGAUCCUGGCUCAGAACGAACGUUGGCGGCGUGGAUUAGGCAUGCAAGUCGAACGAAUCCCUUGGGGGUAACUCUGAGGGGGAAGUGGCGAAAGGGGCAGUAAUGUAUGGGUAACCUACCCUGGGGUUGGGCAUAGCCGUUCUAACGAGCGGGUAAUUCCCAGCGAUUUGGCGAGCCGGCAUCGGUUUGCCAGGAAAGAAUUUCGCCUCGGGAGGGGCUCAUAUGAUAUUAGCUAGUUGGUGAGGUAACGGCUCACCAAGGCGAAGAUGUCUAGCGGGUGUGAGAGCACGACCCGCGCCACUGGCACUGAGACACUGGCCAGACACCUACGGGUGGCUGCAGUCGAGGAUCUUCGGCAAUGGGCGAAAGCCUGACGCAGCGACGCCGCGUGGGGGAUGAAGGUCUUCGGAUUGUAAACCCCUUUCGGCAGGGAAGAUGGAAUGGGUAACCAUUCGGACGGUACCUGCAGAAGCAGCCACGGCUAACUUCGUGCCAGCAGCCGCGGUAAU